RNAcentral lists this ribosomal RNA (414 nucleotides) under uncultured microorganism. Its description in RNAcentral is "bacterial SSU rRNA". It matches the Rfam family "Archaeal small subunit ribosomal RNA", at positions 459 to 872 of the family's 1478-position model. The record is from RNAcentral.
CAGCAGCCGCGGUAAUACCGGCGGCCCGAGUGGCGGUCACUAUUAUUGGGCUUAAAGCGUCCGUAGCCGGGUUGGGAAGUCCUCCGGGAAAUCUGGCCGCUUAACGGUCAGAAUGCCGGAGGAUACUCCCAGCCUAGGGAGCGGGAGAGGCCGAGGGUAUUCCCGGAGUAGGGGGGAAAUCCUAUAAUCCCGGGAGGACCACCUGUGGCGAAGGCGCUCGGCUGGAACGGGUCCGACGGUGAGGGACGAAGGCCAGGGGAGCAAACCGGAUUAGAUACCCGGGUAGUCCUGGCUGUAAACGAUGCGGACUUUGUGUCGGACAAGCUAUGAGCUUGUCCGGUGCCGGAGGGAAACCGUUAAGUCCGCCGCCUGGGGAGUACGGCCGCAAGGCUGAAACUUAAAGGAAUUGGCGGG